Long non-coding RNA from Hippocampus comes (tiger tail seahorse), 336 nucleotides. RefSeq lists it as uncharacterized. The transcript has 2 exons. Lineage: Eukaryota; Metazoa; Chordata; Actinopteri; Syngnathiformes; Syngnathidae. The record is from RefSeq and is a predicted model, not a curated record.
AACUCUGGAAAAUGAACAAAUGCUUGUUGAAAUGCAACUUCUUUCCAGCAGAUGGCUCAGAGUCUUCACCUCAUUGCACAGGCGCCAUCUGAAUGACAAGGCACAGCUGGUCUAGCGUGAUCAGCACCAAUAGGCCAAGCUGCUACUGGUCCAGCAACUCAUCCAAGGUGGUCAAACCUGCCAACACUGCAAACAAGGGACUCAUCAAGCUCUGAAUUUGUACCUUUCAACGGCAACGUCGAGGACCUGCUUCGAGCUUGUCGCAUUUGUCUCUUGGCCCAGCAGUUUGAGGAUCUCUGGCAGCACUCUUACUGCAAGCUGCGCUGCAUGCCGAGU